GAUGAACGCUGGCGGCGUGCCUAAUACAUGCAAGUCGAGCGAACAGAUAAGGAGCUUGCUCCUUUGACGUUAGCGGCGGACGGGUGAGUAACACGUGGGUAACCUACCUAUAAGACUGGAAUAACUCCGGGAAACCGGGGCUAAUGCCGGAUAACAUUUAGAACCGCAUGGUUCUAAAGUGAAAGAUGGUUUUGCUAUCACUUAUAGAUGGACCCGCGCCGUAUUAGCUAGUUGGUAAGGUAACGGCUUACCAAGGCAACGAUACGUAGCCGACCUGAGAGGGUGAUCGGCCACACUGGAACUGAGACACGGUCCAGACUCCUACGGAGGCAGCAGUAGGGAAUCUUCCGCAAUGGGCGAAAGCCUGACGGAGCAACGCCGCGUGAGUGAUGAAGGUCUUCGGAUCGUAAAACUCUGUUAUUAGGGAAGAACAAAUGUGUAAGUAACUGUGCACGUCUUGACGGUACCUAAUCAGAAAGCCACGGCUAACUACGUG
RNAcentral lists this ribosomal RNA (496 nucleotides) under uncultured bacterium. Its description in RNAcentral is "partial 16S ribosomal RNA". It matches the Rfam family "Bacterial small subunit ribosomal RNA", at positions 28 to 507 of the family's 1533-position model. The record is from RNAcentral.